CCGACGGGAGGGCUGGACCUGAUGAUGCGACCGGGCCACCGGCUAGCCCCCGGCGGCGGCGGUCGGGAGUUCGGCGGUCUCGCCUCUUCUUCCCUCCGAUCCUUCUCCUCUCUUCUCCGCCUCCUCCACGGCCGCCUAACCCAUUAAAAUUGCUUUUUCCCCUCUCAAUUCGUUUUGCUUCGCAGUUAGAAGAAACGCGCCCAAAAAGCGCAUCCAAGAGAUAGAAAAAUCCUCGUCCAAUUCCGUUCGAGACUAUGGAGCUUGGUCAUGUGGGUUCAUGCACCUCUUCCUCCACUCACAGCCUAAGGGUAAGAGCAAAGGUGUUUAUCAUCAGUAGAGUCAAGCAAUCUCGUGGAAGGAUUCUGGCACGGGAGCUGCAGUAUCAUGCUUCCCUUCAAUCUGAACAAAUCUUUCUCGUUUCCCAUGUUUGCCUCACAGUCAAGUUGGUGAGGUUUGCUGCAAGGACCUGGAAAGAGAACCACCAUCUGGAGAAGAAAGCCAAUUAAGCUGCCAAGGGAUUGCAAUCUGAUAAUUUGCUGUAGCAAGCAUUGGGCCUAUUUUUCAGGAGAGCGGUGUGGGAAAAAGCAAAGAUUAUUGCACUCCAACCCUCAUAUAAUGACAAGUGUAAUAUUUGUCAUUCUUAAUUCAAGUUUCAAUUUAUGAGAUGCUAACAUUCCUAAUAAUCCUUGCUUCGUUUUGUAUGGAAACAUUGUGUCUGAAAUAUAUUUUGUACUAUAUUUAAUGGGUUAAUGUGUGAGAUUCCAUGGAUCA
Molecule: long non-coding RNA, 771 nt
Organism: Phoenix dactylifera (date palm)
Lineage: Eukaryota; Viridiplantae; Streptophyta; Magnoliopsida; Arecales; Arecaceae
Source: RefSeq, a predicted model, not a curated record